Molecule: ribosomal RNA, 465 nt
Filed under: uncultured bacterium
Lineage: Bacteria
Description: partial 16S ribosomal RNA
Rfam family: Bacterial small subunit ribosomal RNA
Source: RNAcentral
CUACGGGAGGCUGCAGUGGGGAAUAUUGGACAAUGGGGGCAACCCUGAUCCAGCCAUGCCGCGUGUGUGAAGAAGGCCUUUUGGUUGUAAAGCACUUUAAGCAGGGAGGAGAGGCUAAUGGUUAAUACCCAUUAGAUUAGACGUUACCUGCAGAAUAAGCACCGGCUAACUCUGUGCCAGCAGCCGCGGUAAUACAGAGGGUGCGAGCGUUAAUCGGAAUUACUGGGCGUAAAGCGAGUGUAGGUGGCUCAUUAAGUCACAUGUGAAAUCCCCGGGCUUAACCUGGGAACUGCAUGUGAUACUGGUGGUGCUAGAAUAUGUGAGAGGGAAGUAGAAUUCCAGGUGUAGCGGUGAAAUGCGUAGAGAUCUGGAGGAAUACCGAUGGCGAAGGCAGCUUCCUGGCAUAAUAUUGACACUGAGAUUCGAAAGCGUGGGUAGCAAACAGGAUUAGAUACCCUCGUAGUC